GGCUCUGUGGUGUAUAACAUAUCAGAUUGCAAAUCUGAUGAUGCAGGCGAAGGCCUGCCGGAUCCU
Molecule: transfer RNA, 66 nt
Filed under: Xenoconger fryeri (Fryer's false moray)
Lineage: Eukaryota; Metazoa; Chordata; Actinopteri; Anguilliformes; Chlopsidae
Description: tRNA-Cys
Rfam family: tRNA
About the family: Transfer RNA (tRNA) molecules are approximately 80 nucleotides in length. Their secondary structure includes four short double-helical elements and three loops (D, anti-codon, and T loops).
Source: RNAcentral